GGGUGAUAGUCCCGUACACCAAAAUGCACAGGCUGUGAACUCGAAGAGUAGGGCGGGACACGUGGUAUCCUGUCUGAAUAUGGGGGGACCAUCCUCCAAGGCUAAAUACUCCUGACUGACCGAUAGUGAACCAGUACCGUGAGGGAAAGGCGAAAAGAACCCCGGCGAGGGGAGUGAAAAAGAACCUGAAACCGUGUACGUACAAGCAGUGGGAGCACCUUCGGGUGUGACUGCGUACCUUUUGUAUAAUGGGUCAGCGACUUAUAUUCUGUAGCAAGGUUAACCGUAUAGGGGAGCCGCAGGGAAACCGAGUCUUAACUGGGCGUUAAGUUGCAGGGUAUAGACCCGAAACCCGGUGAUCUAGCCA
This 367-nucleotide ribosomal RNA is filed under the name Pseudomonas aeruginosa. Its description in RNAcentral is "partial 23S ribosomal RNA". It matches the Rfam family "Bacterial large subunit ribosomal RNA", at positions 362 to 736 of the family's 2925-position model. The record is from RNAcentral. Lineage: Bacteria; Pseudomonadati; Pseudomonadota; Gammaproteobacteria; Pseudomonadales; Pseudomonadaceae.